RNAcentral lists this long non-coding RNA (1392 nucleotides) under Scleropages formosus (Asian bonytongue). Its description in RNAcentral is "lncRNA (ENSSFOG00015026161.1)". Lineage: Eukaryota; Metazoa; Chordata; Actinopteri; Osteoglossiformes; Osteoglossidae. The record is from RNAcentral.
CUUUUAAGGUGGAAGACACUUGCACUGAAUUAAUUUAUUAGUUUCUCCUUUUAGGAAUGAAGCACGUAGUCACUAUGGCAGAGUUGCAGAACAUUUGGUGCAACAGUACACACACUGCCACCACAACAAAUGACAGUAAUCAAGUUAAAUAGCACAGUGCCGUGAUUCCCUCCAGUACUGUGAGAGUACAGCAUUGUUGGAGCAUAUUUUACAGAAUGCUAUGCAUUCAUUCUACUCCCAGAGCCUCAAAGCUUAAUUGUUGUUCUUUGAAAAUCCCACACACAAUCGUAUGAAAGGACUCACUCACAUGUAUACAUGUUUAAGGAGGCCUCUUGAAACCACCUGAGCUUGCCUGACAGAGGAAAAAAUAAUGUUCUGAAGAAGGCAGCCAUUUGAUCAUAAAUCUUCAGCUUUUUCCAGUACGGGGUCCACAAUGUAACUUUGUAGGCUAGGGGCUUUCUCUGCCUUAAUGUACAUUCUUGCACUGGGGAGAUGUGUGUAGGGAGGGUACAAGGGUGGGGAGGAGAUGGGAUGCAUGCGGAACAGAGUUUUAGUUGCCUUGGUGACCCAGCGUCUUUCUGUUCUCCUUAUCUCUUUGUAUUCAGGCCUUUUGUGUGCUCUAGUGUCCCAUACAAGUGCAGUUUUAAAUCUGAGUCUCAGCUAUUGGAAAGGGAUCCUUGUCUAUGUACUUGUCAGUACGGGUGCAACAUUGCUCACAGUUCUUACUGUUGUAAAGUGAGUGCACAAUCAAUGAACGACCCCUAGUGCUGUCACCUGUGAGUCCAUUCUGCAGGCUGCUUGCUGCUGUGUCUGCAGAAGGAGGUUGCAUGACUACAGAUGUCCACUUCUGAUGGCACCUGAGGCUUUGGCAGGCCUGCCUGGAUGGCAUGCGCACAAGGCCUGUGAACACCUCUCUGUCUGUCCACAACACCAGACAGGAGUGCUCAGCGCUGUGUUUCCUGGGCAGCGUGAUGCUGUCUCACCGCACACUGUUUGCAGAGGGAAACUUGUACUCCAGCAUACUGACAGAGCAAGAAGAACAAACACCAAUCAAGGUUGCUCAACAGCAAUUUGUUCACAGCGAGAGUACAGUGGAGAGCAGGCCAACCUCAACAGCAGCGACAGCUGACAAACACUAAAGACAUUCCCUCUAACUAUGUUCCACAUCAGGCCUAUGUUGUCAACACCAUUCCCCUGCCACUUUAAAUAAUUUCUCGCCUUUAAUGACAAUAACCUCCGAAACUGACACUCACUGUUUGACCUUGUUCAGUGCAGAUGGUUGUUUCUCUUUUAGACGUGAUACUGAAAUUUUCAGUUCUCCUUAAUAUGACUCAGUCCUUUGGUUUUCCUUGUAAUUCUUAUUUACUUGCUUCAAAUUUGAGUCCACCUCCU